This 1361-nucleotide long non-coding RNA is filed under the name Homo sapiens (human). RNAcentral describes it as "HSALNT0043798". Lineage: Eukaryota; Metazoa; Chordata; Mammalia; Primates; Hominidae. The record is from RNAcentral.
UCAUCUUGAAUUGUUUUUGUUUUUGUUUUUUGAGAUGGAGUCUCGCUCUGUCGCCAUGCUGGAGUGCAGUGGCACGAUCUCAGCUCACUGCAACCUCUGCUUCCAGGGUUCAAGCACUUCUCCUGCCUCAGCCUCCUGAGUACCUGGGACUACAGGCACACGCUGCCACGCCCGCUAAUUUUUGUUGUUGUUGUUUGUAUUUUAGUAGAGAUGGGGUUUCACCAUGUUGCCCAGGCUGGUCUCAAACUCCUGAGCUCAGGCCAUCUGCCCGCCUCGGCCUCCCAAAGUGCUAGGAUUACAGAAGGUGCCUGCUUCCCCUUCACCUUCCACCAUGAUUGUAAGUUUCCUGAGGCCUCCCCAGACAUGUGGAACUGUGAGUCAAUUAAAUCUCUUUUCUUUAUAAAUUACCCAGUCUCAGGUAGUAUCUUUAUAGCGGUAUAAAAACAGACUAAUACAAACAGGUAGCUCUAAAUUGUGAGUUUUUCUUAACUCCUUUGAUCUUCUGUGAUAGCGAUUUUUCACAUUUCACACUUCCCUAAUGCCAAAAAUCCACCUCCAGCAGCUGUUUUGCCUCUUUCUUAUCCUGCCCCUUGGAAGAAUGUCAUCAUUAUUGCUGCCACAGCACUGUGUUCUUUUUCAGAAGUUACAGCAAGAAUUGGUUGGCUUUCUUUCUUUUUUUUUUUUUUUCUCAGACAGAAUCUGGUUCUGUCGCCCAGGCUGAUGUGCAGUGGUGGGAUCUUGGCUCACUGCAACCUCUGCCUCCCGGGUUCAAGCAAUUCUCUCGCCUCAGUCUCUCGAGUAGCUGGGAUUACAGGCACAAGCCACCAUGCCCGGCUAAUUUUUGUAUUUUCAGUAGAGAUGGGGUUUCACCAUGUUGGCCAGGAUGGUCUCGAUCUCCUGACCUCGUGCUCCACUUGCCUUAGCCUCCCAAAGUGCUGAGAUUACAGGUGUGAGCCACCGCGUCUGGCCAGAUCUGCUUUCAAAUAAAUGAAAAGAAGACCAGGGUUAGAACUGGUGGGAAAAUGUGAAUAUUAGAAUUCUUUUAAAGAAAUAUAGUUUUACCACAUAAUCUAAGGUCGUGUGAUUAAGUACAAGGCAUUGUUCUAAAAGGCUUGAGGAAAAGUUGUUUCUCCUAAGAGGUUAAACAAGCUCAUAACCCUACCUCUCCUCACUUGCAGGCACAACCACUUCCUGUGUUUUUUUCAUGUGGAGCAACUGAUGUUUUCUCAAUCUUAUAUAAGAUGUUAUACAAGGCCGGGUGUAGUGGCUCAUGCCCGUAAUCCCAGCACUUUGGGAGGCCGAGGUGGGCAGAUCACCUGAGGUCAGGAGUUUGAGAUCAGCCUGGCCAACAUGGUGAAGCC